UGACUAGAUUAUCACUUAUCCU
This 22-nucleotide microRNA is filed under the name Spodoptera frugiperda (fall armyworm). RNAcentral describes it as "sfr-miR-279b-3p". Its record names the gene sfr-miR-279b-3p. The record is from miRBase by way of RNAcentral. Lineage: Eukaryota; Metazoa; Arthropoda; Insecta; Lepidoptera; Noctuidae.